RNAcentral lists this long non-coding RNA (219 nucleotides) under Elaeis guineensis (African oil palm). RNAcentral describes it as "long non-coding RNA (EGUI_LNC068750)". Lineage: Eukaryota; Viridiplantae; Streptophyta; Magnoliopsida; Arecales; Arecaceae. The record is from RNAcentral.
UAGGGAUUUUUGAACUUUUUAUGGAUGUGAGCUUUGAAUACUUGCAAACUUAUGAUUUUCUACUUUAAGAGAGUAUUUAUAAUCAUCAUUUACUCUUGAGAAUAUCUUAGUAUCAGUUUAGAGCCAUUAGGGAGUGUUUAAUGUGCAUUAAAUGCACCAAAAACAUGCUUAAAACUAGCCAUUACGCGUGCUCAUAGGAAUGGGACAUCCCAUGGUGUG